RNAcentral lists this long non-coding RNA (1037 nucleotides) under Malus domestica (apple). Its description in RNAcentral is "long non-coding RNA (MDOM_LNC010390)". The record is from RNAcentral. Lineage: Eukaryota; Viridiplantae; Streptophyta; Magnoliopsida; Rosales; Rosaceae.
UUACUUUGUGUUUUUAAGUGUUUUGAUUCAAGUUAAAACCCAAAUUCGUCCAAUUUGGUGUUUAGUGUCCAAAACUGCCCAGAUUGUGUUUUUAAGGCAGUUUUGAGUGUUUUGGUGCUGUUUUGAGUCUUUUGGUUUGUUUUGGUGUUUUAAAGUUUAGUUUUGCAUUCUUUGAGUCUAUUUUAGUGUUUUAAACUUGUUUUUACGUAUUUGAGUCAAUUCCAAGUGAUUUUGCAAUCCCUCCUAAUCCCCGGUCUAGAACGAUCCCUACUUACAUACAUUGCUACAAUUGAUAAAAAGAGGGUUAAUUUGUGUGUCAACAUAAUUUUCACAUCAAAUUUUGGCUAAACCCUAAACCCUAGAACCCAAAAAUUUCAACAAAUUCAAAACUUCAUUAAAGGAACAAAACAAUUUGUCCUUUAAUGAUUUUGGGCCUUUACGUAAAUACGUAAACUUUUGGGUUAAACUACAAAUUACACAAAAGUACCAAAACUUUAUGUAAUUGCAUAAAAGCCCCAAAAACACCCCACUUGUAGGGUGGCCGGUUUUGGAGAGAAGGGAGUGAUGUGUGUGUUGAUUUGUAGUUUUAGACAUAAAGUCAUGCAAGUGGUGCAUGACAUAAAUGUCAUGCAAGUGGUGUGUGUGAAAGGGAAUUAAUCCUUACACACCCACCAAUAUUUCUUUCACCUUUCAAAAUAAAUAUCUAAUACAUUUAAACAUACGAAAAACAUAAAACAUAAACUUUAUGAAAUAAAUCAAAACUUUGAAUCAAAACACCAAACUUUUUGUUCUUGGCAAAAAUGUCAAGAACAAUGAAGAACACUCAUGAAAAACUCAAAAAAAUUUCCAUGAACAUUUUUCACCCAAAAACAUCCCAAAACCAUUCAAACUUAAGGGAAAUAACAUAUAACCAAACUAGGGUACAUAGGGGUUCCAAAAGUUACUUGAAAACAUUUUUAACAAGUCAAACAAGAAUGAUGCGUAAAAUUACUUGACACACAAAUUAAACCCUCUUUUUGACAAUUGUAGUAUAGAUG